Molecule: long non-coding RNA, 1080 nt
Filed under: Triticum aestivum (bread wheat)
Lineage: Eukaryota; Viridiplantae; Streptophyta; Magnoliopsida; Poales; Poaceae
Description: long non-coding RNA (TAES_LNC010202)
Source: RNAcentral
UACGUAGGCUCUCGUUUGUGUUGUCCUUGUAAAGUGUUUGAUGAAUUCCUUGCCUGUCAAAAUCAUAUCCUUGGAACCUGAAGGUAGCUUGUGCCCCAUAUCCCUCUUGGCUCUCCAAAUUCAUGGCAGCCACAUCUGUUAUCUUCGAGAAAUCUAGUAUGAUUUCAUCUGCCAUUUUAUUGGCUUUUCCGUUAAUCGGCAGCUGUGUAAAGGUACAACUACAUGUUCAACAAUUAGGAAAAUAGUACCACAAAUAACUGAAUGUUGGGAUGGGUAAAUAGAUUUUGUCUUGCGUGAAUACAUAGAAAUACAUGGAAGUAUAUUUAGAGGUCAAAAAGUACUAGUCUGUAGCUUUGUGGAAAAAGAUGCAAAAUAGUGAACCAGUUUAUUUUUACUGUUUGUGUUUAUAUUUAAGUUUCUAUUGCCCAAUGCAUGGUUUGGAAAGGAAUGAAUUACUGGUGUAACACGAGUAAUUGUCGACGUACACUGAGUUCCUAAGUCCCACAGUAAGACGUGAUUAGCUAUAUAUCUCCAUGCAUAGAUGUUUCUAGAACAAUUACUUUUGUUCUCUGUAGCUUCCCUAAAAAAGUUUAUUCCUUGUAGCUCAAUCAAAUUUCAUUUACAUUGCAUUGUUUUUCAUCUCUUUUACAACUAGUCUUGUCAUUUCUUAGGGAGUGUCAAGCAAUAUUAGAAGCGGUCCGAGCUAUUAAAAUGAUCAUGACACUGAUGAUGAGGAGGAUGACAUCUAUGGCAACGAGGGAGAUGAUAGCUGUGGCGAUAAGCAUUAUGAUAAAGUAAAGAUCUGAAGUUUGUUGAAAAUUUAGCUUAUGCAAAUUGUCUGGACCUCUCUAAUACUAUUUUUUGAUUCGACACUUCCUAGAUGGAUUGUUAUUGUAAAUGUAAUUCAUAUGCAACUCAUUAGGUUUGUAAUACCUAGAUUAUGCUAAAUGUUCUUUUGGUCAUGUGCGGUUGUGUAAUUAUGAGAUGUAUCGGAAAUGCCAAUAUUGUGAAAUAUUGUGUAAUAUAUUGCACUUCCCUCUCAGUGAAAUUAAUCAGUGAGGGUUGACUAAUGGCCUAUGG